ACGCUCGACACCUACGGAGGCAGCAGUGGGGAAUAUUGCACAAUGGGGGAAACCCUGAUGCAGCAACGCCGCGUGAGUGAAGAAGUAUUUCGGUAUGUAAAGCUCUAUCAGCAGGGAAGAUAAUGACGGUACCUGACUAAGAAGCUCCGGCUAAAUACGUGCCANNCGCGAGUAUNGNGGCGNGNGAGAG
Molecule: ribosomal RNA, 190 nt
Filed under: uncultured bacterium
Lineage: Bacteria
Description: partial 16S ribosomal RNA
Rfam family: Bacterial small subunit ribosomal RNA
Source: RNAcentral